UUUUAUGGAGAGUUUGAUCCUGGCUCAGGAUGAACGCUGGCGGCGUGCCUAAUACAUGCAAGUCGAGCGAACGGACGAGAAGCUUGCUUCUCUGAUGUUAGCGGCGGAC
RNAcentral lists this ribosomal RNA (109 nucleotides) under Staphylococcus argenteus. RNAcentral's name for it is "partial 16S ribosomal RNA". It matches the Rfam family "Bacterial small subunit ribosomal RNA", at positions 1 to 103 of the family's 1533-position model. The record is from RNAcentral. Lineage: Bacteria; Bacillati; Bacillota; Bacilli; Caryophanales; Staphylococcaceae.